UACUUCUUUUAAACCAGGGAACCCCCGGACCUUCGAUCCCCUUUAACCGAGAAGAAUCUCCUGAGAUCGAUCCAUGGAGGCAGAGCAAGCCAAGGUCUUCUCUCCCCUUCUUCAUCUCUCUCGAAUCAAUCGUUCUUUCUUGAACCUUGAGAUCGAUCUAUUUGUUUUCUAGAUUCUACGUAGAGAAACGAGCUACGGUUGUGCUGCUGCUAAAAUCUAGAAGAAUCGACAGAUUGAUGGGAAUCUUUAGGGCCAAACUUUUGGCUGUGGCAGAAGAACUUGGUCAUGAGAUACGCAUAUUCACAAACUCAGCAAAUUCUGCAGCAUCGAAAGAAAUAUCUGCUUCUUCAAGUGAGGAACCGGACCAUUUCUAUGAUCUUACUCCUGAAGAUUAUUAUCGAAUCAUGUCAGACAGAAUACGAGCCCAAUCCCAAAUUCUAAAGACCCGUAAAAUGCGGGAAGCAGAGGCAGCAGCCCGCAGGGCAAGGAUCACUAUAUGUCUUGGUGGUGGUGGUGGUGUUGGUGCUCCAGGAGAUGGAUCUUAGCCACAAGGCACUGUGGGGUCAGUGAUGAGGUCUGCAUUUGAGCACACCUGUUGCUGGAGCAGCUAAGCCUAGCCUACAACUGAUUCGAGUUGGUUCAACAUCUAGGGGAUAGCAGUCUGGAAAGCUAGCUCUUCGUGCUGGACUGACCACAACCAAUUUGGUUAAAUAGUUUUUUCCCCACUUAUCUAGUGAUGUGGAUUGUAUAGAAGUCAUGUUGCACCAAUAAUUAUGUUUUAGACCAUGUUAAUUAACUAAAUAGAUCAUAUGCUAAUGGCAAGGCAGAUUUGCAAAUUUGGACCAUUUGGCAGAUUUCCUUCUAGAUGGUGGACUUGGUUUGCCAAUGUGUAAUUUAUGAUUUUUCAAAUUAAUUUUCUUUCUAUUUAUGUUUGUGUAGGCUGUAAUUAGGGUUCGCUUCCCUGAUAAUUACAUUCUUGAGGCAAAGUUUCAGCCAUCGGAGAAAAUUGAAAGCUUGAUGCAUCUUCUCAUGAAAGUUGUUGCUCGACCAGACCUGCCAUUCUAUUUAUGUAAGCACUAUCUGAUUUAGUUACAUAGAUAAA
This 1102-nucleotide long non-coding RNA is filed under the name Phoenix dactylifera (date palm). Its description in RNAcentral is "long non-coding RNA (PDAC_LNC012837)". The record is from RNAcentral. Lineage: Eukaryota; Viridiplantae; Streptophyta; Magnoliopsida; Arecales; Arecaceae.